AUGUUCCUAAGUGUCCCAACUUAUUUCAUUAAGUUAUUAUUUGGCUAAUUAGUUAUAUAUAUGCUUAUUAUAUGAUAACUAGGCUCGUGCGUGUGAACAAGUCUCCGUUUGCCACCUAGCACGAUAUCCGACACUACCAUCCAAACCACUCACCACAAGUGAAUUCAUACCCCUUUAAUUAACCUUUGAAAUGCUUUUAAAUGUUUUAAAUACUUUAUGGGGGGAUACAAGUUCAAUGCUUAUAGUUAUUGAAAUCAAUCACAUGUGAUUGCAUUAAUCACAUGUGAUUAAUAACUAGAAAACCAAUGAUUUUAUCACUGUUCAAACUGUUUAUCAAACUGCUUUACCUCGAAAUGUUUUAAAAACUCUUUUACUUAUAAAAUACUUUUAUUUAAACCUUUUUAUACUUCUUAUAAAUUUCAUGACCAUAUAUGUAUAGAUAUAUAAGAAAUGUUUAAAGGGCUUAGGAAGGCCAUCCGCCCUAUUUCCUUUUUCUCGAUUUGGAUGUGGUCUGGUGGGAUUUCGGGUGACCAUCCGAAGGUCGUUUCAAUAUUAAUUAUAUAUCAAAUAUACAUAUAUAGACAUAAAAGUACUUCCAUAUUCAUGCGUACUAUUCACAUCACUAGUAAGUUACCAUCGGGGUAACACAGGAUCAUACUACUACAACUUCUAGAUCAAUGAGUCAGUUCAUUCAUGAGUCUAUACAUUACAUUACUACGAGAACAUAUACACCUAUACUAGGAAGAGAACACAUACAUAUAUACUAUAAAGAGAACAUAUACAACUAUACUAGGAAGAGAACACAUACAACUAUACUAGAAAGAGAACAUAUACAACUAUACUAGGAGGAGAACAUAUACAACUAUACUAGAACGAGAAACAUUACACUAC
Molecule: long non-coding RNA, 891 nt
Filed under: Lactuca sativa (garden lettuce)
Lineage: Eukaryota; Viridiplantae; Streptophyta; Magnoliopsida; Asterales; Asteraceae
Description: long non-coding RNA (LSAT_LNC008879)
Source: RNAcentral